Aethalodelphis obliquidens (Pacific white-sided dolphin) is the source of this 3442-nucleotide RNA transcript. It is a transcript of the gene named pantothenate kinase 1, with no coding region annotated. The transcript has 8 exons. NCBI's taxonomy places the organism in Eukaryota, Metazoa, Chordata, Mammalia, Artiodactyla, Delphinidae. The record is from RefSeq and is a predicted model, not a curated record.
CGGCCUAGCCCAGUCCCCUCUCGGCUCGCUCCGCCAUACGAAGCCCAACCCACCCAUCUCUCCUUUGCAAAGCCAGAGAACUUCAGUCCCCAUGUUGAAGCUCGGCGGUGGCGGCGGCGGUGGCGGGCAGGACUGGGCAUGCUCAGUAGCGGGGACAGGUCUGGGAGGCGAGGAAGCCGCGUUUGAAGUCGCGCGGCUGGGGGAUCCGGGGAAGGCGGGCUGCCGGGGCCCCGGCCGGGGGUGCGCUGGUAUCCCCGAUUCCGCGCCGGGAGUGGGCAUGCUCCAGGCCGGCGCCGGGGGGCCGGCGCGCGGGGGGCAGGGCGUGGAGGAGGUUGGAGCGCCGGCGGGAGGAGGGGAGGAGCGCCCGGCUCGCCAUCCCUCGGCGCCGGCUCUGCGGCUGUUGAAUCGGAAGCCGCAAGGAGGAUCCGGGGAAAUAAAGACGCCCGAGAAUGACCUCCAGCGAGGCCGCCUGAGCCGGGCCCCGCGCGCCGCCCCACCAGCCCCUGGCAUGGGCGACCACGGCGGGCAGCCGGAGCGCUCGGCCUCGCAUGCCCCGGGGACUCCCGCCGGCGCUGCAGCCGUGAACGGAGUGCUGCACAACGGCUUCCACCCGCCGCCCAUCCAGCCGCCGCGCCUCUGCAGCCGGAGCCUCCCGGGCGGCGGCGACGCGGCGCCCCCGCGCCUCCCGCUCCAGCCAGAGCUCCAGCCACAGCCGCCGCCCCCUCAGCACGACUCCCCGGCCAAGAAAUGCCGGCUGCGGAGGAGGAUGGACUCGGGGAGGAAGAACAGGCCGCCGUUCCCGUGGUUCGGCAUGGAUAUCGGUGGGACGCUGGUUAAAUUGGUCUACUUUGAACCGAAGGAUAUUACAGCUGAAGAGGAACAAGAGGAAGUGGAGAACCUGAAGAGCAUCAGGAAGUAUUUGACUUCGAACACGGCUUAUGGGAAAACCGGGAUCCGAGACGUUCACCUGGAACUGAAAAACUUGACCAUGUGUGGGCGGAAGGGGAACCUGCAUUUCAUCCGCUUUCCCAGCUGCGCGAUGCACAGGUUCAUCCAGAUGGGCAGCGAGAAGAACUUCUCCAGCCUCCACACCACUCUCUGUGCCACGGGAGGCGGGGCUUUUAAGUUCGAAGAGGACUUCAGAACGAUUGCUGACCUUCAGCUCCACAAACUGGACGAACUGGACUGUCUGAUUCAGGGCCUGCUUUACGUUGACUCUGUUGGCUUCAACGGCAAGCCGGAAUGUUACUAUUUUGAAAAUCCCACAAAUCCCGAAUUGUGUCAAAAAAGGCCGUACUGUCUGGAUAACCCGUACCCUAUGUUGCUGGUGAACAUGGGCUCAGGUGUCAGCAUCCUAGCAGUGUACUCCAAGGACAACUAUAAAAGAGUUACAGGGACCAGUCUUGGAGGUGGAACAUUCCUAGGCCUAUGUUGCUUGCUGACUGGUUGUGAGACCUUUGAAGAAGCUCUGGAAAUGGCAGCUAAAGGCGACAGCACCAAUGUUGAUAAGCUGGUGAAGGACAUUUACGGAGGAGACUAUGAACGAUUUGGCCUUCAAGGAUCUGCGGUAGCAUCAAGCUUUGGCAACAUGAUGAGUAAGGAAAAGCGAGAUUCCAUCAGCAAGGAAGACCUCGCCCGAGCCACCCUGGUCACCAUCACCAACAACAUUGGCUCCAUUGCUCGGAUGUGUGCAUUGAAUGAGAAUAUUGACAGAGUUGUGUUUGUUGGGAAUUUUCUCAGAAUCAAUAUGGUCUCCAUGAAGCUGCUAGCAUAUGCCAUGGAUUUUUGGUCCAAAGGACAGCUAAAAGCUCUGUUUUUGGAACAUGAGAUGAGCAAAGGGAAACUUAGCUGAUUUAGAUGCCUUUCCGGGAUCUACUGAGGGAAGCUUAGAGCUAUACCUUGUGAGACAUUACAACUUUGAAGUCAGAUAGAUUUGCGAUUGAACCCUGGCACAACUCAUGUGACCUUGAAAGGGGUUAUUUUGGAGCUGUUGGGGCACUGCUGGAACUGUUCAAAAUGACUGAUGACUAGUAGAGAUGGGACAGGGAUCCAAGCUCUGCGGCUGGAGAGGGUGAAAGCCACUGUGGGACGGAAGCCAAGCCAUUAUGGCAGAUGAACCUGCUGGAUUUGUAAAUAAUUAAAAUCCUUCUAGCUGAUCUUUUCUCUUGGGUUUUGAGCUUAUGAUUCAAAAUGGGGAAUACAAGAGUUUUUUCUGUAUACUGUAUUUUUUAAAAAAAUAUUUGUGCAGCGUGGCCAAACCUACCAAUCUUAUGCAUUGACUUUGAAAAAUGAUAUGAUGUUUAAGAAGGACCUGAAAUGUAAGUGCUGUUUAUUUUUCUUCUGGGGUUUACUGAUCAGUGUGGUAAUUUUAACUUCAUUUAGUAAUUACUCUAGGAGAUUUUACCUUGACUUAUAUUUUUCAUGACGUUUCAUGAUUUGCUGUUGGUUUCAAAUGAAACUACAAAUCUGUCAUGUUUUACUGUGAACACUAUUUUGUUUGUUUGUUUACCUUUUUGGGUCUUGUUUUUUCUGUUUGAAUGUCUUAGGGAAAAAGAGAGUCCUUCCCCCUGUUUCUGUCCUCAGAUGACUCCCCGUCCCCCCUCCAAUACCGUUCUUUAAUGUAAUUGUUCAUAUUAAUCAAGGUGCUGACCAACUCAAUACAAAGUUAAGCACGAGAUCUAAAGCUCUCAAAAGUGCCCUUGAAGAGAAAACUCUGAAAAAGUGUUCAUGAAUUUAGUGAGUCUGGCAAAAGUUGAAAAUUAUAUGCAAUUUUGUCGUAUCCCUUAUGAACAUAUAGUGUUGCGGUAGAUUUAUUUUAUGUUAGGUUAUGUUAAAUUGAAAUGUUCUCUGAUGAGGUGUCCUCAUCCAUGCACAGCGUAUGAAUGGCAACAAAUCCUUGUGCAAGAUAUUGGGAUUUACAGGGGAAAGUCUCCCGGUAGAUUAACUGUUCACGUUGGGAUGUUUAGGAGAAGUCAUGGGUUGAGAUGUCAUGUGGUAAUAUCUGUGUUUUGUACAUGUAUGUAGCUAGGAGCUUUGUAACAAGGCGUCUUAAAUAAUAAUAAAGUUGUUUUUUAUUUGAAAUAUUUUAAACUGUAUUUCAAUCCCACUUUCUAAAAUUAAAAAAAAAUUAUUAUACUGAUCUAUAUAUUUUUUUUCUGUUUGAAAGAUAUCAUUGGGACUGAUGGGUAACUUUCAAAUGAGAGUCUUAUACAAAUACUGAAACACAUGAGAUCUAAUGAUUUAGAACUAAUUAAUCUUUUGAAUUGAGCAUAUUGCUGAAAGGGAUUUUUGAAGGGCAGUACAAUUGCUCCAUGAUGAAACUUUCCUUCUUUGCCUCUGGGCACUAUCUUUAAUUUCUAUGUCUUCAAGUCUUGAAGAAGUUGAUGUUAAUGGAAGUAUUCACUUGUCUGGUUGAAAUAAAGCCUGUUUCUGUUGUGAUUUU